Molecule: non-coding RNA, 107 nt
Organism: Gossypium arboreum
Lineage: Eukaryota; Viridiplantae; Streptophyta; Magnoliopsida; Malvales; Malvaceae
Source: Rfam
AUCGCAUGAUGAGGGUAUUUUCGUAAUAAUUUUUUAAAUCUUUCCCAUACCUCAUAUAAAGAUUCAUCAUCCAAUUGCUGAAAAGUUGUGAUAUCAUUCUUCAAUUU